CCUACGGGAGGCAGCAAUGGGGAAUAUUGCACAAUGGGGGAAACCCUGAUGCAGCGACGCCGCGUGAGUGAAGAAGUAUUUCGGUAUGUAAAGCUCUAUCAGCAGGGAAGCAAAUGACGGUACCUGAUUAAGAAGCCCCGGCUAACUACGUGCCAGCAGCCGCGGUAAUACGUAGGGGGCAAGCGUUAUCCGGAUUUACCGGGUGUAAAGGGAGCGUAGACGGGAGCACAAGUCUGGAGUGAAAUGCCGGGGCUUAACCCCGGAACUGCUUUGGAAACUGUGCAGCUUGAGUGCAGGAGAGGUAAGUGGAAUUCGUAGGGUAGCGGUGAAAUGCGUAGAUAUUAGGAGGAACACCAGUGGCGAAGGCGGCUUACUGGACUGUAACUGACGUUGAGGCUCGAAAGCGUGGGGAGCAAACAGGAUUAGAUACCCCAGUAGUC
RNAcentral lists this ribosomal RNA (440 nucleotides) under uncultured bacterium. RNAcentral's name for it is "partial 16S ribosomal RNA". It matches the Rfam family "Bacterial small subunit ribosomal RNA", at positions 338 to 795 of the family's 1533-position model. The record is from RNAcentral.